Molecule: long non-coding RNA, 486 nt
Filed under: Gallus gallus (chicken)
Lineage: Eukaryota; Metazoa; Chordata; Aves; Galliformes; Phasianidae
Description: lncRNA (ENSGALG00010002651.1)
Source: RNAcentral
GGGAGAUCCAGUCUGCCACGUCUAACCACUAUGCCUGCACCUAUCUUUCAAGAUCUUUAAAAAGGAGUCAUUUCCUAUGGGACUGUUAGAAAUAGAAAAGCAGAAGAAUUACAGAAGGUGGCCUGGUUAACAGAUGCCGAAUAUUCCCACUAUGGUCUCCACAAAGAAGUUCUAAAAUUGUCUCCUCCAGGGACUUCAAAGAACUUGACAGAUUGUGGGGGAAACUCGAUGUAGAUGAAUGACAAAACUUCUCUGUAGAGCCCUUAACUGCCAACGUGAACCACUUCACCUACGCGUAAUGUGCCAGUGACUGCAGCUCUUGACUGGCAGUGGCUUAUCUUCAGGAUGGUUUCACUUCAUGGGAACAUUUCCCUGUAAUUUCAAGGAUUCAAGUACAGCACUACAGGAAGUUUGAAUAGCCCAAGUGAACUCACCUGGUGUAAGCAGCAAGAGAAACUCUUUACAAUAGAUGUCUCUGGGCAACUC